GUGUCAGCAGCCGCGGUAAUACGAAGGGUGCAAGCGUUAAUCGGAAUUACUGGGCGUAAAGCGCGCGUAGGUGGUUCAGCAAGUUGGAUGUGAAAGCCCUGGGCUCAACCUGGGAACUGCAUCCAAAACUACUGAGCUAGAGUACGGUAGAGGGUAGUGGAAUUUCCUGUGUAGCGGUGAAAUGCGUAGAUAUAGGAAGGAACACCAGUGGCGAAGGCGACUACCUGGACUGAUACUGACACUGAGGUGCGAAAGCGUGGGGAGCAAACAGGAUUAGAAACCCCUGUAGUCC
This 292-nucleotide ribosomal RNA is filed under the name uncultured bacterium. RNAcentral's name for it is "partial 16S ribosomal RNA". It matches the Rfam family "Bacterial small subunit ribosomal RNA", at positions 505 to 796 of the family's 1533-position model. The record is from RNAcentral.